Molecule: long non-coding RNA, 428 nt
Organism: Homo sapiens (human)
Lineage: Eukaryota; Metazoa; Chordata; Mammalia; Primates; Hominidae
Source: Ensembl
GUAAUGAUGAAGCCCCUGCUCUGGUCCAAGCUACCUGUGAACAGCGCCCAGCGGGCCGGGCCCCCAACCUCGCUCCUGAACGUACCCGCAAGCCCGCCGUGAGAAUUCAGCGAAGAGUAAAGGCUGGAGAAAGUUGCGUGUCUCAGGCUAAGCAGAGCAAAGUGGGGUGAGGGCUUCGCCGCUAGGAACAGAGAUGCCCUUAGGGAGCCCCCUGAUGGAAGAGCUCUCUGCUUAAGAAGGUCAGCACGCCCUUACACUCAGGAGAUGUUGCUGAGAUGGGUGCAUUAAAGUUUAGGCUUUCCAGAGUUUAUAUUGCUAACGACUUGAAAGGAAAAAAGCUAACUAGAGAACUGACUGGUCUUAUUUGUUUUAGAUUUCGGGCUUUACUAAGACUUCCUACACUCAAUCUCUGGACUGUAAAUGCUGGG